RNAcentral lists this ribosomal RNA (859 nucleotides) under uncultured soil archaeon. RNAcentral's name for it is "bacterial SSU rRNA". It matches the Rfam family "Archaeal small subunit ribosomal RNA", at positions 21 to 859 of the family's 1478-position model. The record is from RNAcentral.
ACCCGACUGCUAUCGGAUUGAGAUUUAGCCAUGCGAGUCGAACGUCCCCCUGUUGCGGGGGGCGUGGCGUACGGCUCAGUAACACGUAGUCAACCUGCCCUGGAGACAAGGACAACCCCGGGAAACUGGGAUUAAUCCUUGAUAGGUCAUCUCAUCUGGAAGGAGAGAUGGCUUAAAGGGGUGCGCGGGCUUCUUCCGCGUAUUCGCUCCAGGAUGGGACUGCGACCGAUCAGGCUGUUGGCGGGGUAAUGGCCCACCAAACCUGUAACCGGUACGGGCCUUGAGAGAGGUGGCCCGGAGAUGGACACUGAGAGAAGGGUCCAGGUCCUACGGGGCGCAGCAGGCGCGAAACCUUCGCAAUGCGCGAAAGCGUGACGAGGUUAAUCCGAGUGACUCCCGCUGAGGGGGUCUUUUGUCAGCUGUAAAUAGGCAGGCGAAUAAGGGGAGGGCAAGCCUGGUGUCAGCCGCCGCGGUAAUACCAGCUCCUCGGGUGGUCGGGACGAUUAUUGGGCCUAAAGCAUCCGUAGCCGGUUCCGUAGGUCUUCUGUUAAAUCCAACCGCUUAACGGUUGACCUGCAGAGGAUACCGCGGGACUAGGAGGCGGGAGAGGCGGACGGUACUCCGCGUGUAGGGGUAAAAUCCUUUGAUCCGCGGAAGACCACCAGUGGCGAAGGCGGUCCGCCAGAACGCGCUCGACGGUGAGGGAUGAAAGCUGGGGGAGCGAACCGGAUUAGAUACCCGGGUAGUCCCAGCCGUAAACGAUGCUAGCUAGAUGAUUCAUUCGCAAGUCGCGAAUGAAGUGUCGCAGGGAAGCCGUUAGCUAGCCGCCUGGGGAGUACGGUCGCAGACUGAAACUUAA